Molecule: long non-coding RNA, 1146 nt
Filed under: Salmo salar (Atlantic salmon)
Lineage: Eukaryota; Metazoa; Chordata; Actinopteri; Salmoniformes; Salmonidae
Description: lncRNA (ENSSSAG00000116075.1)
Source: RNAcentral
ACACACACACACACACACACACACACACACACACACACACACACACACACACACACAGGAGGUAGAGAGAAAGUAGUAGGAGACACAGAGGAUCCAGUUUCCUCUGACUGGUUGCUGUGGUUUCUGAGGGGUGCUGUUGACGUAGACAGUGUGUGUGUGUGUCUGUCUGUGUGUGUGUGUGUGUGUGUGUGUGUGUGUGUGUGUGUGUGUGCGUCCAGGGUCAGAUUGGAGCGUAAUACACAGCAGAUCAUUUACAGGAAGACAGGAAGUGUCCUGGUGAUGUAACUAUAACCACAGUCUGGUAGGAAACACCUAACAACUGAUUCUGACCAUUAUUAAGCCUGGAAAUACAUGUUGAAUUCAGCUCUGGUUCACCUUUAAAUGUUUCUAGUUGUAUUAUCACCUUCACUAGUACAGUGAAAUGUCUUUCCUUCAGCUCUUUCCCAACAACGUAGUAAUCAGGAUCAGAAGGACUAUCAACUAAAGCCACGUAGAACAAAAACACACCACAAAUAGAAAUAACAGGAGAAAGUCAACUAUAUACAGUUCCAGGGUCAGUAGUUAUAUACAGGCUCAGUUCCAGGGUCAGUAGUUAUAUACAGGCUCAGUUCCAGGGUCAGUAGUUAUAUACAGGGACAGUUCCAGGGUCAGUAGUUAUAUACAGUUCCAGGGUCAGUAGUUAUAAACAGGCUCAGUUCCAGGGUCAGUAGCUAUAUACGGGCUCAGUUCCAGGGUCAGUAGUUAUAUACAGGCUCAGUUCCAGGGUCAGUAGUUAUAAACAGGCUCAGUUCCAGGGUCAGUAGCUAUAUACAGGCUCAGUUCCAGGGUCAGUAGUUAUAUACAGGCUCAGUUCCAGGGUCAGUAGCUAUAUACAGGCUCAGUUCCAGGGUCAGUAGCUAUAUACGGGCUCAGUUCCAGGGCCAGUCAAGAUGCUCUCAAUGGUGCAGCUGUAGAACUUUUAGAAGAUUUCAGAGCCCCAUGUCAAAUCUUUUCAACCUCCUGAGGGGGAAGAGGUUCUGUCGCUUUCCUCAUGACUGUUUGCAUGUGCACCAUUUUAAGUCCUGGACCAUUUUUUAAGUCCACCCGAGGAACGUGAAAUCCUCCACCGCUGCAGCCCUGUUGAUGUGGAUGGUGGCCCUUCUCCUG